GAAAUGCAUAUUUCUGAACUUUACCUUCAGAGAUUCUCACUCAUUAGGCCUGGGAUGUGGCUCCAGAAUCUGCCUUUUCAAGAGUGACUACUGGUUGGGAAGCUCCAAUGCAACCGACUCAUUGCUUUGAAGAUUACCGACGUGCACACAGUGAGAGUAAACCAGGAGACACGUGCCGUUCAGGGUUAAGAUCAGAACACAAUGUCAAUUAAAUCCACGUGGGUUCUGAAGAAGUCUUGGGAAGAUGAUCAUUGUCCCUGAAGAUGACCACUGAAGAUCAUUGCUCUCCAGCCUUGCCUCAUGAUUGGAAUCAGCUGGGGAACUCUGUAAAGCAGCUCGCUCCUGGCUUUGUCUCCUAGAACAGUGGUUCCCAGCUUCAUCCGCCCCCUGGGAUCACCUAGGGAACGUUUAGCAAUCCAGACAUACAGGCCACACUGCAGACUGAAUCAAAAUCUCUAGGACUCAGGUGUGAGUAUUUUUUUGAAGCUCCCCUGUGAUUUCAAUGUGCAGUCGAGGUUUGAGUGACUGUGCUGGAGACUGAUUCCAGAAGUCAGGGGUGGUGACCAAGAAUCAGUAUUUUUAGGACGAGCUCCAGAUGAUUCUUGUGAACACAAAGUUUGGAAGUUACUAAAUUUGAUAUAUAGGGAUCUAUUUCAAAUUAUUUAAAGAACCAUCUACAUUUGACUUCAUACUAAACGGUGCAAAAAGAUUGAAACCUGCAUUGGAGAAGAAGUCUUGUUUGUCUUCAUUGCUAUAGCUCCAAGAGGAAAAUUUGAAAAUGGAAGAUCCUCAAUAUAUUAGCCCUGUGCUAACAUCUGCUGCCGAUCCUCUUCUUUUUGCUGAGGAAGACUGGCCCUGAGCUAACAUCCAUGCCCAUCUUCCUCUACUUUAUAUGUGGGAUGCCUACCACAGUAUGGCUUGCCAAGCGGUGCCGUGUCCACACCCAGGAUCCGAACCAGUGAAACCCAGGCCACCAAAGCGGAACUUGCAAACUUUAACUGCUGUGCCACCGGGCUGGCCCCUAUUGUCAUCUUUUAUUGUCAUGUAAAAAAUAGCUUUAUUUCUUUUUGUGACUGUAAAAACUAAUAUAGCCAUUAUGAAAAAAAAAGUCAAAUAAUACAGAAAAUAUGGAGAAGAGAACACAGCCUAAA
Molecule: long non-coding RNA, 1151 nt
Filed under: Equus asinus (donkey)
Lineage: Eukaryota; Metazoa; Chordata; Mammalia; Perissodactyla; Equidae
Description: lncRNA (ENSEASG00005027865.1)
Source: RNAcentral